AUGAUGGGGCGCGGGAUGGCUGACGACGGCGUCUCGCGGCGGGCCACCUUCGGCGAGCGCAGCGGCGCGCUGCUGACGGAGGCGCAGGAGCUCGCCGCGCUCUGGGAGGCGGACGUCGGCGUCCUUGUCUUCGACGGCGCCGGCAGGCAGAUGGACUACUGCAGCCCCCACACCAGCUGGAGCGAGCUGAUGCAGCGCUACCAGAUCAUCACCAAAGGCAAGUUUGAGGGGAUAAAUCAUGAUGAUGACCGCCAUCAGCAGCUGUUGGCGGAAAUCACAAGGUUGAGGCGUGAGCGUGACCGCCUGGAGGCAAGCAUCAGGAGGCAGACCGGAGACGACCUGCCAUCCGCCGCAACCGCGGGGCUCGGCGAUCUGGAGCAGCAGGUAGAGCGUGCACUGGGUAAAGUCCGUGAGACGAAGGACAAACUGCUGGAGCAGCAGUUGGACGAGAUACACCACAGGGUGCACAUCCUGGAGGACCAGAACAGCUUCCUUCGCCACAUGAUGAGCGAGGAGGGGCGGCAACGUGCUGCUGUGGAGGCGUCGGCGGUGGUGGCGGAGCUCAUUGUGCCGAUGCAGCCGGCGACGCUGUUCGGGGGCUUCUUCCCGGAGGUGGAGGAGGAGGGGGCAUCCACAUCGCUCCGGCUGUGGCCGCGGCAGUUUCCUGGCUGUGGCAAUUAA
Molecule: ribosomal RNA, 681 nt
Filed under: Triticum aestivum (bread wheat)
Lineage: Eukaryota; Viridiplantae; Streptophyta; Magnoliopsida; Poales; Poaceae
Description: partial small subunit ribosomal RNA
Source: RNAcentral